CUAGUAGUGAAUUACUGUGAGUCGAAAUCUUUCAUGGGUGAUGGCAUCUUUAAACAAACUAGGCAGAUCAGCUUCCAUUUCAAUGUGGUCGCAAUAUAACCUGCUUCCUUUUUUUUUUUUUUUUUUUUUUUUUUUUUACGUAGAAGACACAAUUUUCUUGACCUAAUAUUUUUCCUGGUGAGAAGCCAAGACACUCUCUCUCUUCUUCUCUUAUGUGCAACAAAAGUUGGGGUUUGAAGUUCUGGUAAUUGAUGUCUGCCAUUUCGCAGUGAACACUUUCAACUUCUUCUCAGCUACAAUGAGCAUUUUUAUUUUUCCCAAAUGAAUCGAGGGCCCCUCUGAGUGUCGGCGCAAGUCCCUUGCCAGCAGUUGCCCAUCCCUGGUGUAACUGCGACAUCUAAAUCCUAAUGAAAACAAAUCAAUGAAAGGAUUGACUCAUUUUAGGAUGUGGCCUUGGUUAGCCAUUUCAUGCACCCUGUAACCUGAUAACAUGAUAAGCUGUCCACUGUAGUAACCGCUGUCCCUGAAAGGGUUAAAUCGACAUUUAGCAGUAGCCUUUGCUCAGGCCAUAGAAUGAACUACAGCAAUUCAACUGCACUCACCAUGUGAUCAAUUUUAUCAUGUGCACACGAGACACUCAUUCAUACACAUCGCCUCAUGCCUCAAGUUGAGUGUGUACCCUAUUUGUAAUUCAAGUUUGUAAGUCAAAUACGUGUCACAUAAAGCAAUAAUUGUAUUCUGGCUCCUGGAGAGCCAAACAUAAUUUGUUUUCUGUUUCUACAGUUACAGCGCUGCUUUAUUUUGUAAAAUUAAUUUGUUAUUGUGAAAGGUACACCGGAUGUUAUUGCAUGAGAGACUUCCUGUUUUACGUUGUACGUAGAAGCUCCGAAAGAUGGACCUGCCGCUUAGUGUUCUAAGCCAAGCACGGCCUUUUUACACUUUCUUGACUCGCUCCGGACGGUGAAUAAAUUGCAAGAAACAUCGACAGGUGUGGUCAUUGAAGGAGUUAUCUGUCUUAGCCGUAGCGGGGACGUGGCAAGGGCAGAACAAAUUGAAUAACCCAAAAUAUGCUUGGUUCUGAAAAUGCCACGGAGGCAACUGGUAGGAGAUUUUAACUCAC
This is a long non-coding RNA of Hippocampus comes (tiger tail seahorse), 1120 nucleotides long. RefSeq lists it as uncharacterized. The record is from RefSeq and is a predicted model, not a curated record. Lineage: Eukaryota; Metazoa; Chordata; Actinopteri; Syngnathiformes; Syngnathidae. The transcript is spliced from 2 exons.